This 497-nucleotide ribosomal RNA is filed under the name uncultured bacterium. RNAcentral's name for it is "partial 16S ribosomal RNA". It matches the Rfam family "Bacterial small subunit ribosomal RNA", at positions 28 to 507 of the family's 1533-position model. The record is from RNAcentral.
GAUGAACGCUGGCGGCGUGCCUAAUACAUGCAAGUCGAGUGAACAGAUGGGGAGCUUGCUCCUCUGACGUUAGCGGCGGACGGGUGAGUAACACGUGGAUAACCUACCCAUAAGACUGGGAUAACUUCGGGAAACCGGAGCUAAUACCGGAUAAUAUAUUGAACCGCAUGGUUCAAUAGUGAAAGACGGUUUUGCUGUCACUUAUAGAUGGAUCCGCGCCGCAUUAGCUAGUUGGUAAGGUAACGGCUUACCAAGGCAACGAUGCGUAGCCGACCUGAGAGGGUGAUCGGCCACACUGGAACUGAGACACGGUCCAGACUCCUACGGGAGGCAGCAGUAGGGAAUCGUCCGCAAUGGUCGAAAGCCUGACGGAGCAACGCCGCGUGAGUGAUGAAGGUCUUCGGAUCGUAAAACUCUGUUAUUAGGGAAGAACAAAUGUGUAAGUAACUAUGCACGUCUUGACGGUACCUAAUCAGAAAGCCACGGCUAACUACGUG